This 41878-nucleotide long non-coding RNA is filed under the name Vitis vinifera (wine grape). Its description in RNAcentral is "long non-coding RNA (VVIN_LNC004345)". The record is from RNAcentral. Lineage: Eukaryota; Viridiplantae; Streptophyta; Magnoliopsida; Vitales; Vitaceae.
UCAUCGUACACCAACCUUGCUAGUGUGGUCUUGCCCAUACCACCCAUGGCCACGAUGGAAACUACAGAAAAAUUGGUUUCAAUGGGCUCAUCCCUAAGCAGCAUAUCAAUUAUAAUCUGUUUAUCAGCAUCCCUGCCAUAAACCCAAGGUUCGUAUACACGAGAUGUAGUGAGUGGCCUUUCCCAAGUAGACUGGGUUAUAGCAGCCACCUUGUCCAAACCAAGCCCAGCCUUUUGGGCAUAAAUAGCUUCUAAUCGGGUAGUAAUGUCCUUUAUCUUGCACCCCAUCUUAACAUUACGCAUACAACCAAUAGGAGUGAAAGUAGUACAACAAGUAGGGAUAAACUUGCGUACCUUGCUUGUGCUGCCUUCACCAUCAGCUUCCGCCAUCACCUUUCUUCUUAAAGCUUCGUAGGCAAACUCGUCCAAGAUGUCCUCCAUGUCAUAAGCCAAAUCCCUCAGAUCGCCCAGCCACGUUUUCACCAACUUCUUCGUGAUCUGCUUCUCCUCCGCGUCAUUCAGCACUUCAUGAAUCUCCAAUAAUUUUUCCUCCCAUAUUUUGAGCUCGGCGUUGAUUUUCUCUUGGCGUGCAAACUUGAGGAGAUCAAGGGAGCCCAGUUGGCUAAACAAAGCUUCAAGGGAGACAGAAAGAACAGCCUCUGCAACAACUUCCAUAGUUCGUUGGUAGGGAAAGAGAGAGGUAGGAUACCAAGUGGAAACAAGAGAAUCAGAAACAAUUGGUUUGCUCUAUCAAGGCUUCCCCAAUUAUCAAAGACAGUGGACUCUGCUCUUCAGAGUGGUGGGGCUCACACGUAAAGAAGAAGAAACUAAGGGAAAAGAAGAAAAUAAGUUUGAUUAGAGAGUAAUGUUUAGAUCAAAUUUUGUGAAACAAUUGGUUUGCUUGCUGUAUCAAGGCUUAGCCAAUUAUCAAAGACUGAAGGUAAGAGAUAAGGAGUUGAAGGCAACAGCUGGCAAGCUGGCAAGUGGGUCCAUUGGACAUGAUUAUUCAAGUCUUGGACCACCCUGCAAUUUUCCACACCGCACUGGAUGGUGGGUCAGAGAGUUAAGGAAAACGUCAGAAAACCAAACAUGAAGUGAUCGAAAGCGGGGCUCCUGUAUGAAAAUAUUACUAUGCAACAAUGAAAUUAUCAAAGAAUCAUGCAUUGAAAAAUUCAAAGAUUGAAAUUAUCAAAGAUCAUAUUAAAGAUUUGAUGUGAUGUUUUUCAUAUGUAUUCAUAUAUUUUGGGGAGAAUUGUGUUUUGGGCCCAGCUGGGCCCAAAAAUUAAGAAAUGGUCCAUCUAACUGACCUAAUUAAUGAUAAGGAUAUGAAAUGUUAACAGACGAAAAUGCCCUUUACAUUUCCAACUCAAAUUGUUGUAAAAUAAUGGGUUUCACAGCUGGUAAACGUGAAAUGCCAUGUCACCAGAGUGAAAAUUCUGAAUCUUCCUACCAUUUUCUCUCCCUCUGUAAACAACAUACGCACAAACGAUGCCGACCUUAACUGUCCCCCAAUCGCUUUCUUCAGCAGCCAAGGAUUGUGAGGAUUUCAGAAAAGCUUUUGUAGGUAUUUUAUCAACGAUCAUUCCUAAAUCCAAAUGAUGGGGGUCUGAAUUAUUUGCUGAUAUUUUGAUUUUAUCAGGUUGAGGCGUUUGUAGGUAUUUUAUCAACGAUCAUUCCCAAAUCCAAAUGAUGGGGGUCUGAAUUAUUUGCUGAUAUUUUGAUUUUAUCAGGUUGAGGCGUUUGUAGGUAUUUUAUCAUCAUCGUCCAGAGAGAAUAAAUGGGAGCGUUUGAGAUGGAGAAGGUGAAAGGUGGGAGUCCCUACGGUGCAGGAACUUACGCUGGGGACGGCUCAAGACAACCAUCUGAGCUCGAAUUGGAGCAAGGUUUCCACCAGGGGAAGUACAUUGCUGGCAUCACAAAGAAGCUCAAGGAAGCAGCUUAAUAUCCAUUCCCUAUUCUGAGAUUGUUUUGCAUUCUUCCAUUUUUUCACUUCUAGAAUUUAAGUUCCGUAUUUCUAUUGGAUUGCCAAAAAGCAAAAAAAAAAAAAAAAGAAUAAUUGUUGCUGUGUUUGGCAUAUGCUCUAUGUGUUGAAUGUAUUCAGAACAUUGGUUUGCUGAUCCAACUUGAAAAAUUGUCCUCUUUCUCCCCCUUUCACACUAAACCCAGAAUUUUAUAUUGGUAAAAAUUAAUCCUUGUCAUUUUCUAUUGGUUUCUGGGUAUAGAUUAGGUAGGUGAGAGGUCCUUUCUUUCAGCAGUGAAGGUUGGAAAUUUACUGGGAUUGAGAAUGUUAGCGGGGGGGGGGGGUUUAAUCAUACACACCACCUGGAUUCUACCAAUAAAGUCCUUCGGAAUGUAAUCUAAAUUUUGGCCUAAUCUUUGAUGUUACAGAAGGAAAGAAGGGGUGGAGAUGAUACACUCCACAGAUUGGACAGCUAACAAGUACCUACUACUAUUGACUAUGUAUUAAUUUCCUAUUAACAAGUAAAACAAAUGGCAUUGAUUUUGUUUUACUAGUUUCUGCUUGAAUUCCUAAAUUUUCUUUUUGAAUAUUUUUCUUGUCUUAGGCCACUCGACCCAACUUUUCCUUUCUCGUUUUUUUGAUUAGUAUCUGAAACAAUUCUUAUUUCGUUGAGCAAUGUAUAUUCUUGCAAAAAAAUGAAUUAAAAAAUUAAUUUGUGCCCAAUUAGUUUGGUGUAAAUGUCAUCCACAUUUAUCUCAUGUAAUUUUAAUUGGAAAUAUUUAGUGUUUAUGGGAAUAAACAGGAAGCUUGAAAUUGCUAAUCAUUGGCAUUAAAUUGAAGCAGGUUUAGAAAUGAAAAUUCUGGAUUAGGAGAGAAUGGAUGAGAAGGAGAAUUGCGGACAUGAGAAAAUAAUGUCUCCCUGUUUGGCUCUGAAGAAUUGGUUGGACGAGAAAAUGGUGAGUACUCUAAAAGUGAGCCACAGUUAGAAGCAUUUUGGUCUUCUUCAGAGUUUCCUCGUAAAUUGUAGACAAUUGUUAGGCCUGGUGCCACAUGUGAUGUUUAAAAAGCUGUUCACUAGUUGAAUGGAACCCAUCUUUAGGCAUGCUUUUUACUGAAUAAAAUAUAUGUUUGAAUAAUAAUUUGCCAUGCUUAACAUAUAAUCUUCUUUUGAAUUCUAGCUAGAAAGUUGGAAUUAACUUCGAAUAACUUCACAUUAAUGGACAAAUUGCUAUUAUUUAAUUUCCUUGUAUUGUUACAAAAGUAUAGGGAACAAAUUGAGACUUCAGUUUUUCCUUAUUUUAUUAACCAAAAGAUUGCAAUCAUGAUUAACCUAUGCAUGAGUAUACAUUCAGUAGUGGUUGUAUGGAAUUUAUGUCUGUGUACAAGACAUUUACACUAAGUGUACAAGGUACCUGUGCUUAAUGUACAAGGGUGUACAAAUGUACCUAUGUUGAAGUAUUUGCAAUGUUUUAAAAUCAUUUCCAUUUUGAAAGGAUGAGGAACAUUCCCUCACACACAUUCCUUGAUCACGCACUGAUCCCCUUCAAUUUUAUUACUUCAUACAUGUUGAUUGGAUGACCAACGACAAUAAUGAUGAAUAAGAACCUAUAUUGGGUUUCACUUCCCCCUUUUCCCUUCCCCAUUUUCCCUUAGGCAUCACAUUGGAACAUGGUAGCUCACCCAUAUGCACGCUAUUAGUUUUAGGUAUGUCAAAUUUUUGGCAUUGUAUAAGACAUUUACACUAAGUGUACAAUGCAAAUGUGGUAACUGUACAAGUGUGUACAAUGCUACAUAUGUUGAAGGAUUUCAAAUGGUUUUGAAUAAAUUGCUUGCUCAUUUUAUUUUUCUAAGGGUGACAUUCCUCAUAGACAUUCCUCAUAGACAUUCCUCAUUUACAUUUCUACACAUUCAUUGGAUGAGAUAGCGCGCUUAUAAUGAAUAAGAACCUCGAUUUGGUGUCAUUUUUCCCCUUUUCAGUGAGCCAUGACAUUGGAACGUGGUUAACCUGGCCAUAUGCACUAGUUCUGUUGUAUCUAUGUGGAAUUUCUGCAAGUGUACAAGGCAUUUAAACUAAGUGUACAAGGCCAAUGUACUAAAAGUACAAGGGUGUACAAGGGUGUGUAUCUUACUUUUUCCAAACGUGGGGAACAAUCCUGACACAUGUUGCUUGAUAACACACGCAUUGCAUGCAAUUUAAUUGAUGUCUACCAUGUUCAUUCAUCCUAUUAGCUUCCCUAGUAAUGAUGAAUAUGAACCGAAAUUAGGGUAACCUUUUGUGUCAUUUUCCCUAGUCCAUGGUAAUGGAAACAUUGGUUACCCACCCAUAUUCACUUGAAAAUAUGUACCUAUUAGGGAUUUGGUGACUGGACAAGGCAUUUACACUAAGUGUACAAAGCAAAUGUGCUAACUGUACAAGUGUGUACAAGGGUGCCUAUCUUCAAGGAUUUUAAAUGCUUUUGAAAAAAUUGCUUGCUCAUUUAUUUUUUCCAAGGGGGACAUUCCUCAUUUCCCUUCGUACACAUUCAUUGGAUGAGAUAGCGCGCUUAUGAUGAAUAGGAACCUCGAUUUGGUGUCAUUUUUCCCCUUUUCAGUGAGCCAUGACAUUGAAACGUGGUUAACCUGGCCAUAUGCACUAGUUCUGUUGUAUCUAUGUGGAAUUUCUGCAAGUGUACAAGGCAUUUAAACUAAGUGUACAAGGCCAAUGUACUAAAAGUACAAGGGUGUACAAGGGUGUGUAUCUUACUUUUUCCAAACGUGGGGAACAAUCCUGACACAUGUUGCUUGAUAACACACGCAUUGCAUGCAAUUUAAUUGAUGUCUACCAUGUUCAUUCAUCCUAUUAGUUUCCCUAGUAAUGAUGAAUAUGAACCGAAAUUAGGGUAACCUUUUGUGUCAUUUUCCCUAGUCCAUGGUAAUGGAAAUAUUGGUUACCCACCCAUAUUCACUUGAAAAUAUGUACCUAUUAGGGAUUUGGUGACUGGACAAGGCAUUUACACUAAGUGUACAAGGCCAAUGUACUAAAAGUACAAGGGUGUCUAUCUUACUUUUUCCAAACGUGGGGAACAAUCCUCACACAUGUUGCUUGAUAACACACGCAUUGCAUGCAAUUUAAUUGAUGUCUACCAUGUUCAUUCAUCCUAUUAGCUUCCCUAGUAAUGAUGAAUAUGUACCGAAAUUAGGGUAACCUUUUGUGUCAUUUUCCCUAGUCCAUGGUAAUGGAAACAUUGGUUACCCACCCAUAUUCACUUGGAAAUAUGUACCUAUUAGGGAUUUGGUGACUGGACAAGGCAUUUACAAUAAGUGUACAAGGCCAAUGUACUAAAAGUACAAGGGUGUACAAGGGUGUCUAUCUUACUUUUUCCAAACGUGGGGAACAAUCCUCACACAUGUUGCUUGAUAACACACGCAUUGCAUGCAAUUUAAUUGAUGUCUACCAUGUUCAUUCAUCCUAUUAGCUUCCCUAGUAAUGAUGAAUAUGUACCGAAAUUAGGGUAACCUUUUGUGUCAUUUUCCCUAGUCCAUGGUAAUGGAAACAUUGGUUACCCACCUCCCUCAUCCUAGAGGACAUGGUUUUUGCCUAUCCCCACAGCUGUAUAGCGAAGACCAUUAGAUCCCUAAAGCAUAAUUGUAUAUGGUGUUAGUGAACCACAUUUUCUAUAUUACCAAAUUGAACACAAAUAUUACCCGACAACUUACAAAGCUGAUAUAAUAGUAUUUAAUAAAUAAACGUUGAAUUGUUAAAACUUCAAUAUUAGAGAACUUUCCAACAUAACUGAUACAUGGUAACUAUAAUAAGGGACAUGAAGAAAUCACUUAAAUUUCAUGCAUAAUAUAUAUAUAUACUAACUUAAAAGGUAUCUGAAAAUGAAAAUUUCAUAAAAGGAUUUCAGAUUAUAUAUAAACAAGGGAGUAAUUUGUUCACACCAAUUCAAAUAUGUAAAAUAUCAUAAAAUGAAAUUUCACCCAUUUUGAGACCAACAUGCAUUCUGAUUUAUGUUCUGACAAUACAUUAAAAUUGCAUGACUAUAGAUUAUAAGUUCUUGUGGCACUGUACUACAGAAGCGAAAGCCUCUCAAAUAGUAUGUUGGCAACGGAAGAAUGCAAAAAACAACAAAGAUAAGCAAGUAUGAUGAACCAUACCGAGAGUGGGAGUGAACUGGCAGCAGAACCAUCUAAGCCAUUACCAGCCAUUGUUAAUAUUAUAACUGCAUCAUUGGGCAUAGAAAAGUAGAAUGUAAUGCACAGAUAAACUAACCAACUGAAUAACUAGACAGCAAGUAUAGUACAAUACUAUGAAAGUUCAGCUAAGUGAUAAGAAAAAUGCACGCAUCCAAUGAUGUGAGUAGGACAUACUUAAAAUAGGGAAGUGAAAGUAUACAUCAAGUUAAAGGAUACCACAUUGAAAGUGCAAUUUCAAAUUAAAUCAGUAAUGAAAGCAACUCCAAAUCAUGAAAAUUAAAAAGUAGUCUUAUAAAAAAUAAAAUCAAAAGGUAGUGCAUCGUGUCUAUAAUAAGGACAAUACAUAACAUCCAAAAGCGACAACCCUAUGACCAUAAAGCAAAUAAUGGAACAAUGAGGGAUCGUACACAAAAUGAAAACCUUACAAGCAAAGAAAUGAACAUGUCACGUCAAUGGAUUAUUACAUUUAGACCGAUUGUGACCUAUGCCAUUGCAUCGAGAGCAAUGAAUAGCUCUCUUAUGGCUAAAUUGUGACUCAAUACGCCUUUGUCGGGGUCUUCCUGGAGGACGUCUCACUUGCGGGGGUUGGAGACUAGGAAAUACGUUGCCUUGCCCAUCUUGCAAAGUCCCAGCCUCACAAACUUUAGGCAUGUUGUGUGUUGGUAAUGGUUGAAACUGACCUGAGUAAAUCAACUGUUGGGUGGAGACUUUAAAACAUGGGUCGAUAUAGUCAUACACAUCGUGUCUCAAUGUACGGAUCACAACACAUACAUGUGGACAUGGCAACUCGGACAUUUGCCAUGUUAGACAUGUACACUUAUGUUGCUGCAUAUCCACAACCAAAUAAACUUCUCCAGUAAAAACCUUGAACGUCCCACCCAAAUAAGGCAUCACAGUAAUUGGAGCAGAUCUCGUGAUAUUUGACAUUAGGUUUUCCUCUGUUUUGGGUCCAACCACGCUCUUCCACUUAUCUGUACCACGCAUAUGGGUGUCCAACAUGGCUACAAGCUUAUCCAUGUGCAUCAUCAGCAACGUAUAAAUUGUUUGGUGGCGUUCCUCUCUUAACCACGCAUUGAAGGACUCUGCAAUAUUAGUUGUCAUUUUAUCCCAACGUUUUUUAAGGAACUUUGACAUCGCCCAAUGCUCCGGACUAUUCUCCGCAACCCACCUUGCUAGGUCGCCAUUAAAAUGCACAAGUUUUUCAAACGCCUCAUUGUAGUCUAUAUCCAACCGAGCAUAUGCAAUGUUGUCUAAAAGCAACAAAACAUCUUCUUUCCCUUUCUUUCCCCUAAUGUUUUGCCUGUUGAAGAAGCUUGAAAAGUUCUCUUUCACAUGUCGAUAACAAUAGGCGUGAUUUUCUACCCCAAACAACUCCGAAACACUACGCAAUAUCCCUUGAUGUCUAUAUGAUAUAAUAAUUACUUCUUGACCAUCUAGGAUCCCCUUCAAUUUCUCCAAGAACCAAUACCAAUCCUCAUAAUUUUCUGAACCAACCACACCCAAGGCUAGAGGGAACAUUCCAUCAUCUGCAUCAUAUGCAAUGGCAGACAAAAGAGCUCCUUUGUAUGGACCACUUAGGUGGCAAGAAUCAAUAGCCAAUACCGGUCGACACCCCAUGGUGAACCCUUGAAUUGAAAAUGCGUGGGCAAUGAACAAUUGCUUGAAGUGACCUUCAUGAGAAGUGUACUCGGCAAUAGUUCCAAGGUUAAUUUCCCUUAGCCUAUGGCAUAACCAAGGCAAAUACGCGUAGGACGCAUGUGGAGAUCCAUAUACACGCUCUUUUGCCUUCUCUUUAAGAUGCCAUGCUUGGUUAUAAGUCAAUUGAACUCCAUGAUCACGUUCAAAAUCCUUGCAAAUUUGUCGAGGAAGGUAUUAUGGAGUUGUUUUAAACACGUCUUCAACAACAACAGCACCUCUCUUGGAAGAAACCCGCAUCUUAGAUGAACACUCAUCUUGAGCUAUAUGAUUAUGAUUAACUUGGUAAGUAUAAACUCGCAAUAUUUCAUUUUCUUCAACAGCAUGAGCUGUUAUCUUCCAAGGACAAUCCUCAACCGAACACUUUACUGACAUAUGUGUAGGUGAAUUUUUCUUGUACUUGUAUUGAAACCUUCCAGCUAAUGACAUUUGGUAUAUUGCAUUCCGAAACUCAUCUGCAUUCUUAAAUGUAUGUCCGGAACCUAAUAUUGCCUCACGAAACCGAUUCGAUUCUAAAAGGGUGUACUCAGUAUCUGCACAACGCGAUGCAAAACCUCUUGAUAACAUCAUAGAAUUAGGAUUUGCAUCGCAUGAUGCAUUAGACGAAGGAAACGUAGGAUGUGGACCUCUGCAUUUACAUUCAUAACCAAAAUUAGACUACAUAAUGCGUAAAAUUGAUAUUCAUCAAAUUUUAAAUAGACAUCCAAGUGAAAACGCAUUACCCAAGUGCCAACUGUGUAUUCGGUAUAUUUGCCUCUAUGGCUUCCACACCGGGUGACUCGACUAUGUACACAUUUGCAAAGUCAUCACUGUGGGAAACCACGUUAUCCAAGUCAUCCUCAUCUUCUAAAUCUUGGAUGACUCUAGGGUUAAACUUGAGGGUGUAGUGCAUCCUCAUCACAUGAAGGGAAAUGUCGAAUUUUUCUAAGACCUUCUGAGUGAAUUCUUCAAAUGUCAUUCCUUUAUAAAUGUGAAUACCUUUGCUUCUUCCACCAACAUAUUCCCAAAGGCCAUCAUUUUUUUGGACAAGUUUGCCUCCCACGAAAAUAUAACAGUAUAUUCUAUUUGUGGCAUCCAUCAACCUAUUGAAAUAAAGCACAAAUUUAUAUUGUUGAAUAAACAAUAAUGCAUAUUCAAUGUGAUCUUAAAAGUUUUUUCAUCUCACAAUAUACUAUGUUCCCAUACAAAAAAGUUAUAUUUUAAAAAAUGUAUAUACAAAAAAAUGUAACUUUAAAGUCUUAAAAAAUAAUUUUUGUUGCUCCUUUUGAUUAUUCUAACCAUUGUCAACGGUAAGAUUAUUUUAAGAUAGGCACUAAUAAACAAACGGUGAGUUGAACUAAGAUAUGAAGACCGAGCUUCUCUCUUCUCUUGGACUGAUAAAUACUACAUAACCUAAACAAAACUAAAAAUAAUAAUAAAAAUAAAAAACAAAAAUGAGAAAUGUAAAACUGAAAUGGAAAUUAAAAGAUUCAAAUUAAUAGAUUAAAAAAAAUCAUUAAAUUAAAAACUAAGAAAGGCUUUAAAAGGAAAAAAAAAAACGAAUCUCUAACUUAUUUUCCCUAUCAUUCUCCUUUACUUAUAUAUUCAUAGUUCACAUUUUUAUAAGCAAAAACCUCUCUCUCCAACUACUUUAGUGCUACCCAAUUUGACACUACUACUUACCUAUGCUAAUAAUCUAAUCGUGUCAAUACUUGGAACUUUAAGACAGAACAUCACAACAAUAUCUAGUAAAGUAGGAGGAUUUUGUGUCUGAUUCGACAUAAUACUGCAGAACAUAUAUAUAUAUAUAUAUACACCAAAAACAUUAGAAUUAUGGAACUAUAAGACAUUCAAUAGGAAAUAAUCCCCCACGUUUUAUUAAGCUCUGACCUAUACUUACACUAGGUAGAAAACAAAUUCUCAUUCUCACUCAAACCCUUAGACAAUUUCUGUUGGUACUACUAUAUCAGACUUGCCUACAAACUUAUUCAAAGAGAAUGGAGAUAUUUAAAUAUUAAUUAUAAAGCGUUGCUUUUCAAAAUAAUAUGAAGAGAUAAUAGCCUAAAAAAUGUAACAAAUACAGAAUUCUCUUCUAAACUAUCAUGUCCUACUUUAGAUGAUUCAUACAAAACCAUAAGCAAUAGUUUAACACAUUUAAGGUUUAAGGGUAAAAAAAACUAAUAGAUAAAAAGAGAUAAAUCUGUUACUUGUGCCUACAUCUCAAGCCAAUGCACCAUAAGAAAACUUUAGGGUUUUUAGGUUAUCCAUUUUCCCUUUCCAUUUUUCCUCUCCUAGUUUUCUAGCAACCAAUUAAACAAUUAUAAAUUAUUUUCAAGUAUAUAUGACAAUUUUCACAAAUAUUUUUUUGAAUUUAAAAUAUACAAAUACCAUGAAAUAAAAAUCUAAAAAAAAUUACAAAAAUAUAAUCAGAUCGAUUAAGCCAUGAAUCAUGAGUUGCAGGUAAAGUGCAUUUUCUGUAUUCUCAAGGAUUAAAGAAAAAAUUAUGGUUCAAAAUUUUUCCUUUCUUUUUCUCAUUACUUUCUCAGCAUCCGAAUAAUAGUACCAAACCAAGAAGUCAAUUAUUGAAUGGGAACACUAACUUGAACUCCGGAGAUCAAGUUGAACACAAUUUAGAGAUUUGGACUAAGAAAAUUUAGGUCGAGAUUUAGGCAAUCUACUAACCUUAAAUAUGCAACAAGAGAGACCCAACUGAAAUCCAUACCUUAUUCAAAUUCUCGAGAGAGACGGAUGCGAGAAAAAAUGAAAGAGCCACAGAGAUUGAGAUGCAAGCGAUGGAGGUGCUCGGGAGGAAGAGAAGAAAACGACUUCUAGGCUUGAAAUGCUGAAGAGACCAAAAUUUAGGCAAUCUACUAACCUCAAAUAUGCAACAAGAGAUACCCAACUGAAAUCCAUACCUUAUUCAAAUUUUCGAGACAGCCGAAUGCGAGAAAAAAUGAAAGAGCCGCAGAGAUUGAGAUGCAAGCGAUGGAAGUGCUCGGGAGGAAGAGAAGAAAACGGCUUCUAGGCUUGAAAUGCUGAAGAGAGACCAAAAUUAGGGCAAAAUUCCAAAAAGCCACAGAGAUUGAGAUGCAAGCGAUGGAGAAACUCGGGAGGAACAGAAAAAACGGCUUCUAAGCAGAGAAGAAAAUGACUUAUAGGUAGAGAAGAAAACGGCUUCUAGGCAAAAAAGAAAUCGGCUUCUAGACAGAGAAGAAAACGGCUUCUAGGCAGAGAAGAAAAUGACUUCUAGGCAGAGAAGAAAAUGGCUUAUAGGCUUGAAACGCUGAAGAGAGCAAAAUUAGGGCAAAAUUCCCAAGAGCCGCAGAUGAAGAGAAGAAAACGGAGGCUUGAAAUCUGAAGAGACAUAGGGCAAAAUUCCAACCUGGCUUUUUUUGUUUAUUAUAUUUUUUUUUUCAUAAUCAGCAAAGGUUAUUUAUGGAAUUAAUAAAAGUGCAUAUCCUUCUUUUUAAUUUUGACACUUCCUAUGGGUUUUCAGCUUAAAUGGGUCGGUUAGAUGGGCCAUUUCUUAAUUUUUGGGCCCAGCUGGGCCCAAAACACAAUUCUCCCUAUAUUUUGUUAUGAAUAUGAGUGGAUGUUCUAGGUUUGACGGUGGAAAUUAAGGUAGAAUAUAGAUAAGAUUUUAGAGUGUGGACGUUUUGUCAAAAAAACAUUAUUGAAAUAUGAGAUUUUGAAAAUGACCAAAAGAUAUCUAUGAGUAUCAUUUAUUCACACCGAAAAAAUCAAUAUAUUGGCAAAAAAAUCAAUGAAGUUUUUCUUGCCUUAGUCCCAACAUCCACUUGUGAUCCAACAACCAAAUUUAAAUCUUGAUUGGAAACCCUCUUUGAAAAUUACAUGCAUGAUCCAAAACCUUUUCCUUCAAUAGCAUAUAGGAAUAAGUUAUAAAUACAUGGGAGGAACUUACAAAGAUUUAACAAAUAAUUAGUUUUAAGGACUCCACUUCCAAGCAGGCCAUGUGCUUUUAAGGAUUAAAAAAAAAUUGUUUGACACAUUAAUAAGAACAAAUAAUUUAAUGUUUAAGAAUAUUUAAAUAUUAAUAAAAAUAAACAAUUUAAUCUUAAUGAGAUUAUGUUCUAUUUAAAUUUAAGACAAAAAAACAAAAUAGAUAUAACUUUUUCACUUCUUAUAUUUUAAAAUAUUUUUUAAUUAAGCGUCCUUAAUAAUAUUUUUAUUUCAUGGAUGAUUGAUUAACUUUUUUUUUAAGAAAAAGAGAUAUUGUUAAAAUCGUUUUUGAAAAAAGACAAUGAAAUAAAAACUGGAAUUCGAAUUAUUAAAAAUAUUAUAACCUUUAAAGAUAAAACGAAAAUACUAAGCAUCGAGUGAUAAAAUUUAGGUUAUUAAAUUAAAAUAUAAAUAAAUUAAAUAAAGAUAUAAAAAUACAAAUAAAUGAGAAUACCAUUGGAGACAUGCCAAAUAAAAAAUUUUGAUCCCACAGUUUCUUUAAUAUUAAAAGAACGUCAAUUUUUUAAUAAUCUCUUUCCAUCUUUUGGUAAAUGCCAUAGAAUAAAAUAUAACCAUAAUUCUAUACAUUUCUUUCACGGCAGCGCUGACACAUUGGGUGUCCGCAAGUGGACGUUGCAUGCAAUUAUUGGUAGGAGAUGGCCCGGAUAGGUGGCAAUUAUUGGGGCUCUUUUACUUAAUAGAAUAGAUUUAUAAAAUAAUUUUAAAAAUGACUUCGAAGCCUAUGAUAGUUGUUAAAUGUUGUUGAUUUGAUUUUAGUUCCGGUAAGAAAUCCUUUUUUAUUCUAGUAUGAAAUUUUUUUUAGAUAGUGAUUUACUCUCCAUUAAAAAUUCGAUUUGAUGAUAUUAUUAAAUUAAGUUUAAAAAGAUUUGUUAAAUGUAAGAUUUUUUAUUAAGGUGGAGUUGGAUUUGAAGUUUUAAAAUUCAAUUAAAAUGUCUUAAUUAAUUUUUGACAACUUUAAGAUUUUAUUUUUUAAAAAUUUAUUAAUUAAUUUAUAGAAAUUAAUAUUUUAUUUUUUAAACAACAAAUAUUUUUUAAUUAAUUUUUGAAAAAUUAAUAUUUUAUUUUUUUAAGAAAAUUCCAUUUCCAACCAUCUAAGCUCUUAGGUCUAUAUAUAUAUUACCUAAAUGUGUUUUUGGGUUGGAUGCUUUAAUAGAAUCAACCUCAACUUGCUCUAUCAUUUAUAAACUCUCAGCAACGAAUUCACUUAUCAAACCCCAUACUUUUUUGUCUUCAUAAUUAGUAUGAUGAUUUUCCACAUAAAAUUGAUUGUCUUGAAUGUGAUUGUGAUUUUAUUAUUUCUAUGGUUAUGUGAAAUUCACAAUGUUGCCCUUAGCUUUUGUGAAUAAGUCUGUUAAAUUAUCGUUUAAUCUUACUUUCUGAAUAUUGAUUUUACUACUCUUCUGGAGUUUAUGAAUAUAAAAAAACUUGAACAAUCUAUACUUACUUUAGCUUGAGUUUUUUUUAUUUAUUACAAUUAUGACCUAUAUGAUUCUUAUUGAUCUCAAAAUUAAAUUUAAAAGAUUAGGCAAGAGAUUAACCUACUUGCAAUUUUCAUAAUUAUAGUUGACAAGGUUAUGAUAUUUAUCAAGAUUAACUUAAAUGUUAGGUAAGACCUAAGAGAACUUACUUGCAAUUACUAAAUUUGAGUUAACAAAAUUAAUCAAUAGAAUUAAUCUGUCAUCUUUUUGUUUUUAUAAUUGUGACUGCCUUAGUUCUUAUCAAUAUGAAGAUUAAAUUAAAAGAUUAGGUAAGAGCACCCACUUGCAAUUUAUUGAACCCGAUUAAGCAAAAGAAGUUUCACUUAUUUCUCUUUUUAUGAUUAUGGUUGGCAAGGUUCUCAUCAACAUCAAGAUUAUGUAAAGAAACCUAUUUGCAACUUGUUAAAUUUGACUCAUUCAAAAGAUUAGUCAAGCAAAUACACUUGCAAUAAUUUACAAUCAAAAUUCACUUUAAAAUGAUAAAUAUAAGCUAUCUCUUUUCUGGUUGCAUUGAACUUAUUGAUAAUUAGAUUUAAACAUAAAUAAAUAUAAUUAUUUAAGUAUUAAUUAAAAUUUAAACAUCACUAAUUAAAUAAAAUAGUAUAAAUAUAUAUAAAAGAAAAGCAAAACAUUGGUUGCCUGGCUGCUAGCAAGUGGAGCCAUUGUAGGCAAUUAUUGGUAAAAGAUCAUGGGUGGUAAUCAUUUGGGCUCUUUUUAACACUUUCCAUGGCUUUAAAUGCCUUUUUCUAAAGUAAAAGUUAGAACGAUAGAUAAGCAUUCAAAGAACUACACUGCCUUUUUUUUACAGCAAAAGUUGGAUGGAUAGGCAUUCAAAUAACUUUUUUUUUUCCUUGUAACUUCUACUUGCUUAAUUUUUUUUUUUUUUUGUUAAUUUUUCACUACAGAAAAAAAAAAAAAAAAAAAAAAGUCAUCUUGUUAAAACCCUUAUGCAAUUUUCUAACAAAGAGACAUGAGUGACAAUGGGUUAUAUUAUUUUGAGUUCAUGUCGUGUUAGAAGUAAAAAAUAUUAAAAAUUUCUUCAACCUACACAGACUCUUUUAAUUAUAAUCAUUUUCCUUCUUUUUUUAUUUGAUUUUUAUAAAUAUUAAAACUCCACAAAUUGUAUUGUCUUAAAACUUCCCUCUAUGUAAGAAAUAGACAUAGAUAGAUCUCUGGUAAUUCAACUGAAAUGUUGUAAGGACAAAAAAGCAAGUGACUUCUGUAAGCAGGAUAUGAUGCUUGUGAAUGGGACAAGGAAGAAGGUUGAAGGAAGGAGAGUAAACAAGUUUUCCCUUUAAUUUAUAUAGAUUGGUGAUUAGGCUGAAGUAGAGACACCUUGCUACCUCGCUGCAUCUUCAAAUGAUCAUGUUGAUUAACCAUGAAUUGAAAGCCAUGCUUUGCCUGCGAAGUUUGAUUAGAGAGGAAUCUUUAGAUCAAAUUUUGUGAAACAAUUGGUUUUUGAUGGAAUCCUGAAAGUGGAUUACAUAAAUUACUUGGUGCCUUCUUUUGGUACAUGAUACUCAUGAACUGAAUGUCAGCAUGGUAUUCAUGAAUCAAGUUUCAAAACAAUUGAGCUCAUAUAGAUCUUGCAUAACUGGAAAUCAAAGUGAAUCUCAUGUUGUUUUUGAUGGGUUUAGAAUAAAAUCAAUGACAUCACUAUGGCCUUUGUCAAUGACUUGGUUUUAAACUCUGGUUCAAAAUAUCCACUGCAAUGGGAUAAUGACCUUAACAUCCAGUGAUGACUUCAUUUUAGACUCUGGUUCAAAACAUCCAUUGCCAUGAGAUAAUGGCCAUAACAUCUGAUGGACCUCGUUUUCCCAAAGACACGGAAAUGGAUUAGGUAGGGGUGACUCUGAAUCACUUGCAUUGAGUCUACUUCAUGUGAAGUCCCCAAGGUCAGUUGAAGGUUGUCUGGUGAUCAGCUAGAUAAUUCCAAAUACUUGACCCGAGGCUAGAUGCUUGAGGAGGGUAAUUCAAGAGGCCCAACUGUUGUAUAUUGUCUCCCCACAUGGCAAAACCUGUUUUAUCACGAUGAUAAAAAAAAAAAAAAAAGUGUUUAAUUAAGGUAGAUAAUGCAACUUCAGCCAAUAGGGUGUGAGACAGCGAGAGGUGAAGAUAGAGUAACAUACAUUUCUUGUCCAUGGGAUGAUGGCCAUCUAGUAUAUACGAACUUCAAUUUUUAGCCACAUUGAAGAAAGUUGGCCUCUCAUUAAGACACUAUGAUCACAUUUAGAAAUCUUAAGGAAUUUUGAGAAUGUAUCAAUGCCUUGCAUAAUUCCAUUUAGAAAUCUGAGUCCCAGAAAGGUGUUGAUGCCGAAGUCCCAAAAUUUAAAAUUUUGAGACUCUAUUAUUGUCUAUUCUCCUGCCACAGUAACAAGAUUUCUUUACAAUGAACAGUCAUUAUAAUUUCACAUAUGCUAAUGCUAGCAUAAGCCACUUUGAGAAAACAAUUGAUCCUUGGAUUAUUACCAAUCUCAAAGGAAUUGAAGAAGGCUAGAUGGUCAAGGUCCAAAGUUCUUGAUGACAUUUCUAGUUCGCCAAUCGAUGACAAUAUCAUACGUGAAACAAAAGACAUGAAGUCUGAAACAUUCAAAAUCAAAAGCAUUUGUUUUAAUUCUUUAGCAAGAAAAAUAACAUAAUGGAUCUUAUUUGUAUGAUUAUCAAGUUUAACAACACGCCAUUGCCUGACUCCUUAAUUGGCUUCCAAGAUUUAAAUAAUUCAAAGACACCAUUAUGUUUAAUUCCAAUAUAAAAGACUAUCAAAGAAGGGGUAUAUAAAUUUGCUUGAAAUUUAUGCAAGAUAACCAGUCUGAUUGUGGGAGAGUUAACAAACCUCUAAUUUUUUGUCGACAAAAUCUCGUUAAUUGGAUUCCUGAAAAACGUAUUAAAAAUAAGUAAACACUCAUCAUAGUUAAAAUCCAAAUCCCGAGUCAAAAGAAGAUUGUUUAUUGUAGAACUAAACACAAUUACUAAACCUUAUAAUGCAAGAACGCAAGAUUGUCCUCGAACACAUUUCCCAUCUUAUCAUAUUCAAUUUAUGGCCUUCCUACAUAACUGCAUUUUAUAUUUGAAAGGUAAAUUAGACAUUUUUUAUGUGAGUAAUAAGAAAGUAAAUGCCAUGAAAGGCAAACCAUACAAGAAAAGAAGUUGUAAACAUAUAAGAGUGCUUACUAAUCACUGUUGAAUGAUAUGUUAAUUGUCUCUCUUUGAAUCUACAAGAGUUUAUAUUUUGUGAAUCAUAAUAUGCCACCAAGAAAAAUGCCUCCCAGGGUUAAACCCAUAAACACCUUGAUGGAUUAGACAAAGUCUCGUACUAAGAUGCGAAAUCAAUUUUGAUAUUAUUUAUAACCUUUCAAUCUCUUUUGUGCGGACAUUGUCCACUUUGAGUUCAAUGAAUCCUCACAACCUAAAAAUGUGUUUAUCCUAUUGAAUAGAAACUCUCUGUAUUUAUGAUGUUGAUUUAUAAAGAUGAAGAAAUUGUUUUAAAUUUUGUUUUACGAGUCAAUGGGACCACGAAAAAGGAAAACAAAAAGGAAAAAGUUAGUAGAUGUUGACUAAAAUGGAUUAAAAAAACACACACACACACACUCACAAAUAUUAAAAAUUCCUCAACCGAUUGAGAAAAUUCCUUAACCGGUUGCCACUGGUUAAAAAAAUCUUCAACCAGGCCGGUUGAGAAAAUUCCUCAACCGGUUCCCUUUAUUCCUCAACCGGUUGCCACUGGUUAAAAAAUUCCUCACCCGGUUGUUACAAUUCCUCAACCGGUCUCCACUACCUUCACAAGUCGUACCUAUGAUUCACACCAUAACCUAUAGUCUUACAGGUACUAACUAUAUAAUUUUUAGCAUAGAUAAAUGAAUAUAUAUAUAUAGGAACAAAAAAAAAUCUAAUUAUCUAAAAGAUCAUACAAAAUCAAACAUGUCGAACAUGAAUGAUGCCUAUAUAUUACAAUUUCAAUUUGCAGACCAUAUUGAAAGAAGAGUAUAGAAAAUCAAAAUAAAACGGACUUAAUGAUGAAUAAUGUAUGGUCAUCCAAGGUAAGAACUUCCCAAUAAACAUGACGAUAUGUGGAGAUGGAAAUUAUAAAUAUUAGAAAAACAACAAAUAUCAUAAUAAUAAUUUUUCCAUUGCUCAUGUCGACAUCUUUGUACAAAUAAUAGCGACGAUGGUUUGCUUUUCUCUAUUGCCUCCGUGUAAAACUAAAUCACUUGUUAUUUCCCGACGUAGUUUAACAGAAUUACAUAAGUCGGAGACCGUCAUGGAAUCACCAUUGUUGAAUGUCUGCAUAUGUUUAAUGACAUGCACUACACAAUUCCACCUAAGAAAAAUAAAAGAAAAGAAAAACAACUUAUUGAAUGGUUGUAUAAUUAUAGCUCAGAUAAACAAUAGUAAUGUGAGUUAUGUAUUCAUACUAACCCAUUCUCUUGGGUCGGAAUCGAAGGAGCCCAAUCAAUGGAGAAUUGGAAGACAUCUGUCCCUAUGUCAUACAGUUUGAAGAACGUUUGACAAAAUUCAACCUAAUUUAUUAUGAAAGUGUUAAUAAAUAUGGAAGAGAGAAAAAAACAGAAUAAAAGGAAAAUAUAAACAUUAAAGCAUACCACUGUUUUGACACUCUGAAACUGGAACUUGUCUCGAUUCUUCGAUUGUAAUGAAUCCAAAAUUUGGAUAUGAGAGUUUUUGAAGUCAAUGACGCACAAAUACCAAUGACUAGGGCAUUCGUCAUGCAUUGGAAUAAAUAGUUGUAAAGUUAGAAAAACAAUAUAUAUGAGUUGGGGCACAAAAAAUCUACUAUAUUAUAGGUGAAAACAAUAUCUAUUCUAAAUUUCAUAUAUGCAAUUAAACAUUAGAAAUAAUUACUAACCUUCUCGCAAUCAUCUAAUUCGCUAAUGUACUUACUCCCGAUGGAUGUUUUUCUAUCAAAAAAAUGAUGAGGAGUCCCGCACAAAAUCAUUUGCUAAUAAUAAAACAUAAUAUGAACAUUAGUAUAUUGUACUUAAUACGUAAGUAAACAAGAAGAGAAAUAUGAGCUUACUGAAAAUGUCGUGGGAAGAUAACAUCUUAUACUUGCAAUGCCUAUAAAUUGCCUCUGAAAAUAAUUUAGCUUUGAGGCUUCUAGUUUUAUUACCUGUUGUUAAACAAUAACUUCAAUAAAUUAAUUUAAUUAAUUUAGCACACAAUUGAAAUAAAUGAAGUAGGUACUUACAACAUCCAUCAAAUUUUGUCUAGGGCGUAAGCACUCAAAAUCUCCACGAAUUCCAUGUUCAUGAUCAAAGUUAACAAGAAGCUCACUAAAAUAAUAAUAUGUUAAAACAUUCUUUACUAAAUUGGAAGCAUAUGAAGGCUAAAAUUGUAACAAGACAUCUAUUAAUAUUCUAGACACUACAAACCUUUUUAACAAUCCUUUAUUGAAAACAUAAUUAGCAACAAGAGAUUGAAGUACAUUGAAUGAUUGACCAUCCACCACGUCUUCACGAAUGGACAUGGGGAUUGACUAAAUUGAAAACAAGACAUAAUUAUUACCUAUAUAUGUUGAGUAUCCAAAAUAAGAACAUGAUAUUAAACUAUUUGUAUUAAACCUCUGAUGCUUGACGUUUUCCCAUCUUCCUUAAAUUGUGUACAAACGGGGAGACCUUGAAUUUACUUGGUUUCCUCUCCCUUAAUGUACAUGUUUUCAUGACAUGAUCGGGAUAACCACAUAGUGCUCAUAAUGGUUCCUAAUAUGGAAAAUACCAUUAAUAUACAUCUAUUUACUAUGCAAUGGUUAAGUAGUUGUAAAGAAAAUAUUUUUUUCUUUUAUAUGAUACAUACCUUUCCAUAAUCUCUUCUACUCCUUUUGAUUGGAAAUGGUAAAAUAUCUACAUUUUCGUCUGGAAUGAUAUGCACUUCAAUUGAUGUAGCACAUGCAUCUUCAUUCUUUCCAUUCAAGUCCUCAGUACAUAACUUCUCAAUUGUAAAGAAAAUAUUUUUUUCUUUUAUAUGAUACAUACCUUUCCAUAAUCUCUUCUACUCCUUUUGAUUGGAAAUGGUAAAAUAUCUACAUUUUCGUCUGGAAUGAUAUGCACUUCAAUUGAUGUAGCACAUGCAUCUUCAUUCUUUCCAUUCAAGUCCUCAGUGCAUAACUUCUCAAUUGACAAAGUGUGAACAUAAUGUUCAUUUCCAUUCUUAUUGUCCUUAUCUUCAAAACUUCUCUCACACGAGAGAAUGUCAUUCUUCGUUCCCUUGUCGUGCAUUCUCAAAGGUUUUUCGCUUGAUCCAACGAAGAGACCUUUCAAUGUAGUAUAUUUCUCCUCAAAUUCAGUCAAAACUUUUUCACACCUACUACUUGGACCAUGAGACAAAUCAAUUAGAUGUGUCUUUAAUUGUUCAAAGGUUUUAUCCAUCUCCAUUAAGCUCCCACCGUGUUCCUAGUGAUAUAUGGGAACUUCAUUAAUAACAUAAUAAUACAAGGGUUCACUACUAAUAUUGAUACUCAUGAUGAAUAUUGUAAAACGUACUCGUUUAAUAACAUCUUUAUUUGGAUUGAUUUCAAAUUUCUGCUCCUCCUCAUUCUCUCUCUCCAUUGUCAUCGCAUUUCUAUCAACACAAUCCCUUAUCUCAUUUUGUAUCACCCAUAUUUUGACCUACAAUAUAUUCAUCAAAAUAUAACACAUAUCAAAUUAAAAAUCACUAAAAACUUAAACCAAUAUUAAAAGACUUUUGAAACUAUAACUUACAUUGUCAUUUGCAUAUCCACCGACUUUUUUCAAUCUUCGUUUCAUGUCCAGUACUUGAUCAUCUCCCCAAGCAGUAAUCCGAGGACAAGGUCGAGUAUAUAAUGGUAGAAAUUUCUCUUCGAACGAUAUAUGCUUGUGGUAGAAUAACUGCAAUUAUAUUUGACAUACAUAUAUAGUUAACAAAUUUUAUUAUAACAAAUUCGAAAUUCACUAUGAUGUCGAUUAAUUAUAAGGACAUUACCAUUAAAAACAAUAAGCAAUCGCAAACCCCACUUUGUUGUUUCAUCUUAAACUCUUCAAUCCCAUGCACAAGAUAAGACAACACAAAUUCAGCCCAAUUCAUCUUCUUUAUUGAAUCAAUGUCUUCCACAAGAUGUAAGAAAGAACGUUUCACAAAAAACUUCAUUGUUGGGCACAAUAAUGCACCCAACACAAAUAAUACAAAACGAACUUUGAAAUCGUUUCCACCUUCUUUAUCCUCCCUAAUUUGAUUUUCUAACAUCACUAAUGGCAAUUGCCCCUUUUUAUCACAAUAUUUUUUACAUAAAUCAUUGUUAUGGCUAACAUCUUUGUUCAUGCCAAUCUUCAACCCUCUUGCCCUCAAUCCCAUAAUAAAUUCAACAUCAACGGAGGAUAAUUUGAUACAAGUAUUAUACAACUUUCACAUAUAAGUGUUCGGGUUGAAACUAUUUAUCAACCAAAGACAUAACCCAUGAUCAAUUUUCCUACAUCGGAGUUGCAAGAGGCUACCAAAACCUAUUUCUUCUAUGGCUGCUCUUUGCUUUGGUUCUAAUUCUUCAAUAACUCUAAUCACUCGUUCGGGUGAGCAUUGAGUCUGAAGAUAUAACUGAAAAAAUACACAAACAUCAAACAUGUUUAAAUUAAUAUAAUUUCCAACAAAUACAUAAGUAAUGAAAUUAAAUAUUCAUUACAAAAAAAUUGCCUUUGGAGCCACACCCUUUUGAAGUCAAUAUUGUUUUGAACUUUCUUUGGACUUUGCCAUGAAAUCUUAUUUUUCUACUUUUGAAAGUUCAUUCCACUUCUUGCCCAAUUUUUUCCUCAACUACAUUAAUUGGUCACAUACUUUAAAUUCUAAUUUUAAAAUGUAAUUAUAUUAGACACAACAAUAUUACUCCUUACAUCAUCAUUUAUCUUAACUCCUUUAUCCUUCUCUUUGAUCAUGACCAAUUGAUCGUUACUACAAAACAAUUUCAAACAAAUUUAACUAUAAUAACCACAAAAAAAUACAUUAAAAAACAUAUUCUUUUACAUAUUUCUAUUUUUCCUUACUAGUAAUGUAUCCAAACUCCAAUAGGCCUCUUUGGAUUUCGAACAACUUCAACAACAUUGCGUUCGCUCCUAUAAAUUAAAUCAAAUCAUUUAAGUCAAUUUUUAUAAUAUGAUUUCAAAUAUAAUAAAUCAAACAUACUUUCACUACCACUACAAAAUCCUCCCUAAAUCUAUGUACAUUUUAAAUGGUCACAAAAUUAUCAUAUCAAUUAUUUUCAAUCUCCAAUUAUGGAUUUAACCACAUUAUUUUUCAUUAAUGUCAUUGAUCCAUAAAUCUCACAAAAAACAUGAAAUAUAAUGGCUACAAUAUUGUAAAACACAUUAUCAAUACUCACAUUUUUUUUCCUUAAUAUAGAACUCGACAAAUAAUUACGACACAACCGUCUUUCGAUUAACAAAAAAUUGUGUCCUUUUUAGCUUUCUUUCUCUUAGUACUACACAUCUUCUUCUUCUUCUUCUUCCAGUUAUGUCUUCAAUUCGGGUUUUCAAACCACGAAAUUUAAAAGCCGAAAACACCCCUUAAACAAAAUAUAAAAUAUGAAGAAAAUACAAGGGUUAUGGAGAGGAGAGGGGGAAUGGGAAUAUCGUACUCUUUACUUCAAAACCCGAAAAAACCCCAAAUAUGAAAACUAAAUAUGGACAUAAUCAAAGGGGGUGCGAGAAAAUACAGAACUCGAAAAGAUGCCCCUCGAAACGGCUACAAUAUCUCACCCGAAAACACCCAAUAACACAAAAACAUCCAACAAUACAUGAAGACAAUUGAAAGCGCCUGAAAAUAACAGUCGAUGGAGAUGAGCAGAAAACACAAGUACUUGGAGAAGAACCGAGUAUGGAGAAGAGAGGAAAAUAGACGAAAAUAUCGGGAAACUCGGUAAAAAAGGGAGAAAACAGAAACUAAACUGAAGAUUAAUGGUGAGAGGGGUCUCUAUCUCCUUCUUUAGUGCUUUCUUUCGCCCAUUUCUUCAUUGUCUCGCAUUUGGCUCUUAGGUUUCUUCCGAAGAUAGGAUUUCCUUUUUUUUUUCUGGAGUAGACUCUGGUUUUUAGGUUGGUUUUGAGUGUAUUACGGGGUUGUUUGAGGUGGGUUUUGGAAGAUUAUGAGAUUGUGAGCGAAGAUUGAGAGAGGGUUGUGAUUGUGGAGUCGGGCUGGUGAUGAAUUUGGCACUAGACACUCCUUGAAUGAAGAGAGGCAAAGAGAGGAAACUCGACCCGACUGUCGAGGAUGAGUGGAGAUCAGAGCACGGGGACACAGCCGACUAUGGAGGAGAAGACGGUUGCCUAUGGAGGAGUGUGGAGAUGAGAGCACGAGACACAGCCAACCAUGGAGGAGAAGACGCUCAACUAUGGAAGAGAAAAGAGGGGAAAAAUGGGAAAAUGGGGGCUAAGAGGGGGAGAGAACAUGUAGAACAGGAAGGAAGAGAGAGAACAAACGGGAAAAUAGGCUGAGAGGGGGAGACAACAAGUAGAACAGGAGGGAAGAGAGGGAACAAACAAGAAAAUGGGCUGAGAGGGGGAGACAACAGGUAGCCAGUUUUUUUUUUUUUUUUUCAUUUUUUCUUUUUCUUUUGAAUGGCUGAGAUUUAAUAUCUUUCAUCCAAUGGCUACAAAAAAUCUGAGGCAAGUACCUCCCUCGACACCAUAGAAUUUUUCUAUAUAUAUAUAUAUAUAUAUAUAUAUAUAUAUAUAUAUAUAUAUAUAUAUAUAUAUAUACAUUUUCAAAAUUUCCUAAGGCACAUUUUUCAAGCUUAAGAUUCACAGGGCAAUAAUAUUGUAAUCUUGAUGUAAAAUGCAAGUGAGAUGGAAGGAGUAAUUAAUUUGUUUUAUUAUUCACCAUUUUUACAUGUUAAUAUAUAUAUAUAAUUCACCAAACACGUGUUUGAUCAUGUUUUCUAUGCUUGUUUUUAAAAACUAUUUUUAGUAUUUUAUAAAAAUAAAGGUAUUUAACAAAUUAUUUUUAAAACCAGUUUUUAAAAAUAAAAAAUAAAAACUAAAAAUCUUGUUUAAAUAAAUUAUUAAAUUUUUUUUUAAAAAAAAACAUUGUAAAUUCAAUAUAAUAUGAAUUCAACAAAAAAAACUUGUAACUUUUUUUAGGUUUCGAAAAUUUUGAGGGAAAUAAAAUAAAAAGAAAAAAAUACAAGAAAAUAAAAAAAAACUUUGCGGAAGUAAAUUUUCUCUUCCUUUUAAUUAAAAAAUUAUUAAGAAAUCAAAAUCUUAGCUGGAUCAUUGAGUCAGCGUGGGACUUCAAAACUAGCACAUGUGCAUGCCAUUAUUUAUUUAUUUUUGUACUUUCAAAGCAUAUUAUUUUUAUUUUCAAUAUUUUAAGAUGACGCAUUUUUCAAGCUUAAGAUUCUCUUUAUAAUUGUUGUUGGUUGUAUCAAGAUUAAUUUAAAUUUUAGAUAAAACUUAACACAACUUACAUUCAAUUUAUUAAAUUUGAGUUAAUAAUAUUAGACAAUAGAAUUAGCAUGUGAUCUUUUUUAUUUUAUAAUUAUGGCCGGCUUGAUUCUUAUAAAUAUAAAUAUGAAGAUUAAAUUAAAAAAUUAGAUUAAACUCGAUUUAAUAAAACUAGCUUAACUUUUUUGUUUCUUAUAAUUAUGGUCCGCAAGCUUAUUGUCGAUUUGGGAUGACAAUGGAUGAGUUUUUUUUUUUUCCUAUACUUGUGUUUAACAAGAUAGAUUUGAAAUUUAAAUAAACGAAUUAGAAGUAUGUGGACCCCGUAUUUCAGCUCAUGCGUUUCCACUCGAUGGCGAGCUCGAUUUUUUUAUUUAAAAAAUGAUUUUUAUUUAUUAGAAAAUGACUUGGAGUCACCACUUAUUUUGUUUUAUUUUUUAAAAGGGUAAAUAAAAUAAGAAAGAAAACUCUAAAUGUGACUCAUUGUUUUGGAAAAUGUGGUGUGUGAAAAACCAGAUCGGCCUCGGGGAUCAGGUUAAUUAUCGAGAAGGUACAGUAAAGACUAUAACACCCCUCUAAGUCCCUAAAGUUGAGUAUUUACUAAUAAAAUGAAGCUGAUGUGACAAUCAAUAAGUAAAUCAAUGGAUACUCAAAUCGAUCAUGCACAUAUGGAAAUCAGAACAUGCAUAGAGAAUGAUCAGAGUGAGAGUUGGUGCGUACCUGGGCAACGAGCCACCAUACGCUAUCAAGAAGUAAAGUUAGUAUACAAAUAAUGGACAUAAAACAUAACUCACAUGUCGCUAAAUUAAGUACGAAGUCAUCACAUGUCACAAUUCAAUCAAAUGGGUUUUCAAAGGAAACAUCCAAUAAUGUUGGGCCCCACCAAAACCCAUUUAUUUUGCAUGAACCAAUUCCAAUAACUCCAUUAUUCGGAAUUACAGGAUUAAAUUUAUGCUUAUUUUAAAACAUUUUAAAAAAACGAGGAAAAUGUAAAAAUGGCUUGUCGAAAAGAACAUAACAACCAAUAUUUUUAUUGAAAGAGAUGGAUUUUUGGGAUUUAAAAAUUCUAAAGAUGAAAAAUUGGAAGAUUCGAAAUUAUUUGAAAACUAGAAUUUGGAAAAUCAUUCACAAAAUAUUUUUAAAAAAAUGAGAGGAUGAAAAAGUAGAUGAUGACACAUGACCCAAAAGUUGCAUACCAAAUGUGGUCAUGCAACCGGAAGCAUGCAGGGGCGGGCCUUGAGUAGAAAGUCAACCUGAAGCACAACUGAAUUGAUGAGAUCUGCAUAACUCACUGUCAGAAUUAAUGACAUGCACCUCGCGGGUGCAGUUGCAAAAGUUUGAUCGCAUGUGCUGUAUGAUGCAGAUUCAUAUCCCCCAUAUUCCUGCUUUGCAUUUUCUCUAACACAUUUCUUCAGAAACACAUCCAUUUGACUCUCAAACCCAUAAGAUAUAUCUGCCAGCAUAGGAGGAUUAGGAAUUGAUGCAGAAGCAUGAUGCAUCACACCAAAAUCAAUAAAUGGGUGACCAAAGUGUUCAGAGUUGUAGCAACAGUCACAAUCCAAGCAAAAAUCUCCAAGCGGGACAAAACCAUAUUUCACUACCUUUAACAGUGAUUUUCAAUGGAUGAUCAAGAUCAUGUAACUCCAUAAAAAGAAAAUUAGCAGGGAACCACUGAUCUAGAGAAUGGUUGCCUUUAUGACUACUAGAAAAAUUAAAUCCAUCUUCAUUCAUCUCUGCCAGCUUGCCCAGAUCCCCUAAGUCCCUAAAAAAAAAUCAUUUCCUUCCACAUUAGGUAAUGUAUCAUCCACAUUUUGAGCAUGGCUGGGUUUAUCCACCUCAUUUUCAUCAUUCUCAAUGGAAACAAGGAUGUUAUAUUCUUCAAACAUGUCAAGCAUUUGAUAGAAGCUCAUUAUCAUCUGGAAGCUCAUAAAUAUCACCAUCUAGAACUGAUGGAAGCGCCAUGUCAGUAGAUGGAAGACUUCGAGAUGGACCUGAGUUAGAUGGAAACCCAAUAGGUGCGUCCUCAGGGCCAACCGUGUCUCUUAAAAUGGAAUUGCUUUGGCUGUCAUUAAGAAUUUCAUGUGAUGAUUCAGCAAGGUGACAUGCCUGGAAACUAAUUGAAGUAACGGCGGCAACAGGUCUUUCCUUCUCAACAGUCUCAGUUUUCAGCUGACUAUGGAGAUACCGAACUGAUCAACAUAAAACCAACAAGAAAUGCUCUACUCCCUGAAUAUUUCCUGACGUAACCUCCUUCAGAAUACCAUCGGGCAAAGCAAGAUUCGCAUACUAGGUAUCUGAAACUUGUAAGCUUUCCCCUGGACCAAACCCCUUAACGUGCCAGUCGUAUUCCACUCUCAAUCCAUUUGCAUCAGUGGCCUUGAACUUGUGCAGCGUACACUCCGGCGACAAAGAAGUUUCCGACGCAGCUUCCUCGUAGUUUUCAAAAGACCGACGCGUCAGCAUGCGAGGGUUUUCAUCAACGGCGAAUGCCCAGACCCGACUGGCAAUGAGCUUAUGGUAUCGGACGUCGACAGAAUCAUGAUUAUCAAUGAGAACAGUCGCCAGAUUGACGCACAGAAUCUUGCAGGGGAAAAGAUCAAAAGUGAAAAUUCUUGCGAUGGAUGGGAGUAAGAAAGAACAUCAUUCCUUAGUGGGGACCUCUGGAAUCUCUAACCCUUGCCAUAAUUUAUCUGUCUGUAUAAAAUUCCGACGGUGCUGGUAUCGAAUCUUGUCUGUCAGCAUUUAGAAAUGGCUCAUAGUGGCAGGCUCUGGCUCUGCAUCUGAACAAUCACAAGUGCCGAAAAUGAAAAACCCAGCCAAGAUUAAUAAUAGUGCUACUGCUAUUAGCGCUGGCUGAUGGCGUCGAUGGAGACGAGAACAAGGCCUAAGGAAUAGUGGGAAAAUUUGCACUGACACUGACGUAUUCAUGUUUGCCAUUCUUCAAAGCGGUGGAAAAGAAUGCACCGAUCUGCUCAUGUACGUCUUCCAAGCCAUUCACCACAUAGGAAUAUCCACGUCGACACCUUGGCUUUUUCUGGAUUACUAUUGGGACUAGUCUUGAGGGGGCCAGAGGCACCAGAUCAGUAAUAUCCUUCAAUGUUGAAUGCACACGUGAAAGAACUUGGUCUUCCCUUGCAAGACCACGUGGCUGCUUCAGUAAAUCCCCGUUGACAGUAGCUUCUCAUUGUCCUGUCCGAACGCUCGUGUUCACCAUUGAAAUCAGUGCAAAUGGGUCAUCAACUGACUGGUACCGUACUAAUAAGGCUUACAUCAAUCUCGGGAGUGUAGCUGUUGCUCACCACAUGGAAACACCCAUCUCCGCACCUGGGCAUUCUCUGACCUAACCAUCUCCAAAACGGUUGAACAUUUGUCAUUUGCAUUACGCUGGUGCACCUGAUUUUGAAAAAUAUUCCCAGAACUGUCACGGAUUAUACAUCUUUUCGAAUGAAGGUAUUUGGGCUGCCUCUAACUGAUAGAUAUUGGACUCACAAUGUCUCUUGCAGCAAUUGCUAUCUCACAUGUGCCAAUUUCUUUAAUUUGUACCCAUUUAUGGGCAUCUCCAUGAAAGGGUCUUUACUGACUUUAAGUAGCUCUUUCAAAGGCCAACCUAUGGAUUACUUGGGUGCAAUUGUGAGCUCCAUCUGGUAUUGCUUGGAUCUUACCGGCAAUGCAAGGACUGAAUCAUUACGAGCAGCAAGUUCUUCCAUUAAAAGCCCUUUUUGCCUUAUUUAUAACCAGUUUCCGCAACUUAGGAACCUCAUCCAGAAAUCUAGUCUUGAUCCAACAAAUCUCGACGUUCAAAGCAAGCACAGAUGCUCAAUUUUUCCCGUUGAAUGCAGUCUUCGUUUUCUAAAGAACGACUUCGAUGCCGGCUUCAAUGAUGGCGCCCGGAUGAACGAAAACGUCAUCACCGGGACAUUGGGACUCUUCUGCUUAUCGAUGCCACACUUGUAGCAGUUCAUGCACAAUAGCUUCAGAUCUGUCUAAGAGAUUACAGCCUGCAUGCAAGGUGUUUCCUCCAGCAAAUGCCGAAAUCCUGUGGUGGCGUUCCUGUAAAUGCUGAAUAGGAAGAGUGAGCAUCGCUUUUAUUCCAAGAAUCUGUGCGAAUACGCUGAGACGAGCCAACUCAACCCAGUUCGACACAAAGAAAGGAUGAUUUGUUUUAAACCCAAAACUCAUCUCUCUAUCAACCAACAACUGCGCAUGAAGGGCAUGUGGUGUAGAGAGAGAAAUGUGGUGAUAUGCAUGGGGGCAUAGAAGGUGACCAUGGGUGUACGACUCUCAGAAGCAUGAGUAAGGAAUGGGUAUGGGCAGCAUGAAGGAUGGGUAUGGGUAGUAUGAAAGAUAGGUAUGGGGGGUGAGUAUGUUUGGUAGACUUGAAGAAAAAUGGGUAUGAAGAGCAUAUGGUAUAGAGAGAUGAAUGAGUGGGGAAUGGGUGGUGAGCGAGUUAGUGAGAAGAAUGGGUAUGAAUGUGAACGGGGUGGAUGGAAAUAUAUCAAUGAGAGAGAACGGGUAUCUGGGCAUGCUGAAGUAUGGGGAUGAAGGUGGCCAUGCGCAAUAGUCUCUACGUACGUGGAUAGGAAGUGAGCAAUGGGUGUGGGAAUGAAGCGGGUUGUUGCAGUGGAUGUGAAGGAUGAGGAACGAGUAUGAGGGAUGAGUUUGGAGGAUAGGUAGAGUGGAUUUGAAAUAUGAAUGGUGAACGGAGAUGUAGAGAAGGGAAUUUAAUAGAUGGGUGGAUAAUGAAACAAACUUCCCGGCUGCGUCUUCAUACCCUGAAUUCAGGUUAGCAUCGUCAUAGCCACCUCGCAUGUGCAUACGCAUGUGGCGGCCUUCUUUGUCAACAACCCCACGAACAUGGUGCUGCCUCCACACUCAGCGAGUGAGUGAUCAAUCAGGCGCAGUAGGGCAGGGGGUAUAAGCUGUUUCAAAGCCCCAAGAACCAUAUCCCACGACACUAUUCCAUCUGAGUCUGAAUGCAUUGAUUAAACUGGGCCAUCCACGGACACAGCCUGUGACAUGAAGUUUAGUGGCAGUGAUAGCUUGAUAGUGAGGGCAUGCUUCCUAGAUGGGUCCAUGACUUCUUCAUUGGGUCGUGAACCUCAUACCCACCAUCGCGGCCCACCCACAGGGCCUUGUAUCCAUUACCAUCAAUUUCAACAAAUGGAAUUUCAAACUCAAGUGAGUCCACUGAAGGUAAACAAACGCUUUGCCACCUGAUAUUUAAGAUACUACCAUGUGUCAACUGCAAAUAGAUUGCUGCUUCCCCUUAGUGCUGAGGGGACUCUACUAAACCCAAACGUCCUGAGUUGUUGACAAUCUUUUGUGAGACUCCUUUCAUCCUAAAAAAAAAAUAACCUCUAUCUUCGUGCACAGAAGAACUCCUUCUUUCAAAGUCCUAGUCAUGAUUUUUUUCCAGUAGAAGUAGGUAUCAGGACAUCCAACGUCCUUUUUGACCUGUAUGAGAUACUCCUUGGAAUACCGGUCUGAAAAGAGUAAUUGAGCACGGGCUUAGCUCCAGCUACUAUAAAUCUUCUAAUCUCUUUAGGAAUGCAUCAGAGGAAAUGUUCCUAUGGAGCACUAAAGAUCUUAGGUGGUUCAGUUCCCAAACCCAACUGCUCCCCAAGAAGAAAUCAGUCUUUCAAAUUUAAUGGGAUAAGAUUGCAGGAAGGGGAAUCUGAUCCAAGAGCAUUUAAAUAAGAUCCAGGAGGUGUAUAUGCAUUGGCCUGAGCAUUCGGUGACUCUUUUCUGUAUCAUAACCACUAAGAGAGGAGCCGUCUCUUUCACGCAAACUAGAUUUCCAUUUUCAGCUUUUCAAAUUUCGUUCAACUUUAAAGAGACCCGGUAUUUAGAUCCACAAAGCAACAGUGAAAACAACCACCAUUUCUAGCUCAAUUUUUGUUUUUGUUAGGUAUAGGCAACCUCCAUUCUUAUCAGUAUUCCCAUCGCUGGUGGACAGCAAUUCCGAUUAACAUUAAAAUGCAGAAGCAGUUUGAAGAUAGAAAAUGAAUGUAAAUAUAUAAUAUUACACAACAUUAAACUCCCUUUUGCCCUGGGUCUCCCCUGAAAAUAUUAAAACGAAAAAACUACAUUUUUUGCAAUAGUAGGGACUUGAACCCAAACCAAUUAUUAUCCAUUUUAACAAUGACAAUUCUGAAUCAUUAGGUUAAAACCCACAUUUGUUUCACGGAUUAUCUCCUUGAACUAAAUUGCUAAAAGGUUGGUUUUUGUUUUUUGAUUAAAUUAAAAAAAUCAAAAUAUAUUCAAUUUAAUUAUAUUGAUUGAUAUAAAUAAAUACCCAAAAGUGAAACAUAUAUAGUAAAAGUUUUUCCAUUGAACUACUGUGAUACAAGGUUUGCAAAAAAUAGGCAAGUAGCAAUAGAAAUUAUUAUAAAAUCAUUGGUUUAUAAAAAUAUUAAAAUAAAAGUAUUUUAGUCAUAUCUUAAAUGAAUAGUAGUCAGUCCUUUAUAUGAAAUAAAAUAUAUUUCUCUUUUUAUAUGAAAUUGGUGGGGAUAUAACCAUCAAACAUCAAACCAAAAAGAGAAACCAGCCAUUUACAAGAGAAAAUAUCAAGAAUAUUAGAGAGAACAAAAUAGAGCAUGUAUAUGCAGGCAAUCGUGUUCAACUAAAACAACCUUGUGGCCCUAGAUGUCCACAGCAAAUCACAAAAUAAUAUUCAUGGAUGAUGUUGGACAUUAAGGGAUGGAAACGUAUCAAGCUCAAGAUAGCCUUGCUUGGAAGUUCACAGCGCGACCUUCCUUUCCUCAGCUAUCUUCUUCCUCCAUCCUUUCCUUUUCUCAAGCUAUCUCUCCUAAAGAAAAUGCUAUGUCACUUCCUCUCUCCUCCUAGGCUGCUCAUUCUGGUUCUUCUCUAAAAAUGAAUACGCUUCUCCCUUCCCUACCUCUGGCUUCCUCCCUAAACUCAAAGAACGCACCUCAAAAAUCUCUCCCCUCUCUGUUUCUCUCCUAUCUCUGUUUUCCUCCUCCGCGGCAACGAAAACACCCACCUCUCAAAAAAGUAUCACUCUCCUGUCUUUCCUCUCUCUCAUACGCUCCUCCUCUCCGACCUCUGGCUUUCUCCCCAAGCAAAAGAAUUCCCCCUCUGAAGCUAAAGGAAUUCCUCUUCUCUCGUCCGACUUGCCCCCCAAGAAAGAAUACCCUCAAAAUAUCUCUAAAAAACCCCCUCUCCAAACGCACCACCCUACAACAACCAAAACACCACCUUGCCUCUACCAGAAUCUGCCUUCUCUCUCUCCUACGCUCCUUCAUAACGACUUCGACUUUUUCCAGAAUCUUCUUGACACUAACGUAAUUCCAUGAUAGGCGACCACGAGGUAGCACUUGCUCUCAAAGAGCCCUCCAUCUGGCAAGUGAGCUGCAGAAAAUGGGAGAAAAAUGAGCCCCAAACGGGGUCUACAAAGUGGGUUUGAGAUUUUUUUUUUUUUUUAAAAAACCUAAGAUGAGUUUAGAACGGGUAUUACUUAGUCCCGCCCACCCCACCUUGAUUACAUAUAAAAUUAAUUUAAAAUGUUAAUUUAAUUUAAUUUUUAUUUUCCUAUUUUUAAUAAAAUAAGUUAUAAAAAAUUAUAAUAUUUUAAUUAUUUAUAAAAUAUAUUUAUUUUGAUAUAAUUAAAAAUAUGUAUUUUAAUUUAUUUUAUUUUUUAAAAAAAAAAAAGUUAAACAUGUUGCCUAUGGGAAAUUCGCAUACUAGUCCACCUUACCCCGUCCCGUCUAAUUUUUUUAAUAAGACGGGUAUGAGAAUUAUUUUGAAUAAACGGGAUAUGAUUGAGAUGAGUGCAAUCCAUCCCCAACAUGUAUAGCUUGCCAAUCUCCAACGUCAAGAUGUAUUUAAUAAAAGAUUAAGUAAGGAACCUAUUUGCAACUUAUUAAAUUUGAUUAAUUUAAAAGGUUAGUGAAGCAAAUCCAUUUGCAAAAAUUAAAAAUGCAUAGAUUUUUAACUAAUUUUAAAUAUAUUUGAUUUUUUAUUUAUUUAUAUUUUCCAUAUUAUAACCCAAUAUGAAAAAAAUCACUUUCCUUAUUAUUUUUUUCUUUAUUACUUUUUGGAACAAAUAUAACCUAAGACUAUGUCUGGUUUCCUUAAAAUUUAAGAGAAAAUAUGUUAAGGAAAGAAAAAACAAAAAAAAUAAAAAAAUGAAAUUCAAAAUCAAUAAUUAUUUUAUAUGUUUCUUCAAAUUCAUUUAACUUAUUUUUCCCCAUUAUAUAAAUAUUAAAUGAUUUUAAAAUACAUAAAUUUCUAACUAAUUUAAGUAAUAUUUGAUUUUCUUUCAUAUUUUCUAUAUUAAAAUUAAAUAGAAGAAAACAAUUUUUUUAACAUUUUUUUCUUUCCUUAGCAUUUUCCUAAAGCCAAACAUAACAUAAAUGUUUUGAAUUGAAAACUAAUGUCAUUGUAUAACUUUAUUGAUUGGUUGGAUCCUUCCUAAGGGAGGGAGUUGUUUUUUGUUUUCCCUUCCAUUUUUUGGCCAUCUUUCGAUAGCCAUUGUAUAUAUCUUGUGUGCUUUUUCUAUAUUGUUGAUAUUGGAGGAUAGAUUUUAAUAAUAUAUAUAUAUAUAUAUAUUCUUAACUUCUUGUUUUUAUUUUUAAUGUGAAAGCACUUUUAGAUUUAGCAUGCCCAUAUUAUUAGUUGUAAGACAAAUGAUAGAAUUGAAAAGAAUGAUUUGGGCUUUGUUCUCAGAAGAAACAACGUUAGUAUUAUAAGUAGAGAAAAGGCUACAAAUUAUAGAUGGGAGAUCCUCCCAAUUAGAAGAUGUUAUGAGAGGAAGGUAGAAGAAAGAAUGACAAUAACAAAAAAUAGACACCAACCCAAGGCCCACAGCACAAAUAUCCAAGUCCACCACUGAAACACAAAACAAGCAAGGGUGAAGGUGAAGACAAGAUGAAAGGCAUUUGGCUUCGAGGGGAGAUAUGAUCUAUUGGCGAACCUAUCAGCUUCCUGAUUGGUUGCUCUAGACUUUCAACAGAAGGAGCAUCUCAUGUCUCUAGACAGCUUCUCUAUCCUUUUCAACCAAUGGUUAUGUCUCCAUAAACAACCCUUCUUUUAUUUGUGGCAGGUCGAUUUUACAUCUCAAACUUGCAUGGCAUAUUGCUGUUGAAUUGAAACCCACAAAUUUGAUUUUGGCAUUAUGGUCAUCCCCCUCUUAUGUGCUCACAAUUUUUUUGUAACUUAUUUCAUUUUCUGCCAGGUUUAGCCCUGAAGCUCUAAAUGGGCUAUUCAUCAAGGGAUUGGUUGGCUGGUUUUUGCAAGUCUCACUGCUGAAAGUAUCAUUGCUUUCAUUGGGUAUUGGGGAGGCACCCUUUCUGGACAUUGUGGCAUAGCAGGGUACACUUUCACAGGGAUGUGCUUGGCUGUCCUUGAGAGGGAUCAUGUGGAGUAUCUCAUAUUAUUUCUUGAUGCCCUGGGCAUGCCUAUGCAUGGGAAUAUUCUUGGUAAAAACAAUAAAGAGAGUCCUCUUUGCAGAGGUGAGGAGUUAUGUUUCCAGCAAGCAUCACUAUCUCUUGCUCCUUAUUGCUUUGGCUCAGUUCCCACUUUUCAUAUGGCUUGGCAACAUUAGCCUUCAUUGGCUUUUCUGAACUUCAUCUUUGAUAACUGUAUCCGGAAACAAUUUGCUUCUGUGGAAGUCUUAAAAUGUUGUAGUUUUGGUCUAUGAUGUCGGCCAAGUGACCAUUCUCCAAGACUAGAAAUAUUCUUUAAACUUAUGCUAAAGCUUAAAUAUGAUUCAAUUGUUCUCCUAGUUAAAACAGAAACCAAGCACUUGGCUUCCUUGUUCAGAAUUAUUUAUCCUUUUUUUCCCAAUUGAUUGGAAAUGAACUAGUUUAGCACUUGUAAUUUGACAUGUUCAUUUAAAGCAACUGUAGUUAAUAAAACAAUUGAGCAUGAACUGGAGUUGCCGAUGGAAUCCUGAAAGUGGAUGACAUAAAUUACUUGGUGCCUUCUUCUGGUACAUGAUACUCCUGAACUGAAUGUCAGCAUGGUAUUCAUGAAUCAAGUUUCAAAACAAUUGAGCUCAUAUAGAUCUUGCAUAACUGGAAAUCAAAGUGAAUCUCAUGUUGUUUUUGAUGGGUUUACAAUAAAAUCAAUGACAUCACUAUGGCCUUUGUCAAUGAUUGGGUUUUAAACUCUGGUUCAAAACAUCCACUGCAGUGGGAUAAUGGCCUUAACAUCCAGUGAUGACUUCAUUUUAGACUCCGGUUCAAAACAUCCACUGCCAUGAGAUAAUGGCCAUAACAUCUGAUGGACCUCGUUUUCCCAGACACACGGAGAUGGAUUAGGUAGGGGUGACUCUGAAUCACUUGCACUGAGUCUACUUCGUACGAAGUCUCUGAGGUCAGUUGAAGGUUGUCUGGUGAUCAGCUAGAUAAUUCCAAAUACUUGACGCGAGGCUAGAUGCUUGAGGGUAAAUCAAGAGGCACAGCAGUUGUAAAUCGUCUCCCCAUAUGGCAAAACCUAUUCUGUCACAAUGAUAAAAAGGUGUUUAAUUAUGGCAGGUAAUGGAGCUUCAGGCAAUAGGAUGUGAGGCAGUGAGAGGUCAAGAUAGAGCAACAUACAUUUCUUGCCCAUGGAAUGAUGCCCAUCCAAUAUAUACAGACUGCAAUUUUUACCAACAUUGAAGAAAGUUAGCCUCUCAUUAAGGCACUAAGAUCACAUUUAGAAAUCUCAAAGAAUUCUGAGAAUGUGUCAAUGCCUUGCAUCAUUCCAUUUAGAAAUCUGAGUCCCAGAAAGGUGUUAAUGCCGAUGUUCCAAAAUUUUGAAACCGUGUUGCAAUCUAUUCUCCUGCCACAGUAACAAGAUUUCUUUACAAUGAACAGUCGUGAUAAUUUCACAUCUGCUAAUGCUAGCAUAAGCCACAUUGAGAAAACAAUUGAUCCUUGGAUUAUUACCAAUCUCUAAGGAAUUGAAAAAGGCCAGAUGGUCAAGCUCCAAAGUUUUUGACGACAUUCCCGGUUCACCAAUCAACGAUAGUAUCAUACGUGAAACAGAAGACACAAAGUCUGAAACAUUCAAAAUCAAAAGCAUCUGUUUUGAUUAUUUAGCAAGAAAAAUAACAUAAUGGAUCUUAUUUGUAUGUAUAUCAAGUUUAACAACACGCCAUUGCAUGACUCCUUAAUUGGCUUCCAAUAUUCAGAUAAUUCAAAGGCACCAUUAUGUUUAAUUCCGAUAUAAAAGACUGUCAAAGAAGGGGGAUAUAAAUUUGUACGAGAGUUAACAAACCUCUGGUUUUUUGUCAGCAAAAUCUCAUUAACUGGAUUCCUGAAAAACGUAGUAAAAAUAAGUAAACGCUCAUUAGAGUUAAAUUCCAAAUCCAAAGUCAAUAGAAGGUUGUUUAUUGUAGAACUAAACACAAUUACUAAACCUUAUAAUGCAAGAACACAAAAUUGUCCAGAAACACAUUUUCCAUCUUAUCAGAUUCAAUUUAUGGCCUUCCUGCAUAACUGCAUUUUAUAUUUGAAAGGUAAAUCAGACAUUUUUUAUGUGAGUAAUAAGAGAGUAAAUGGCAUAAAAGGCAAACCAUACAAAUGAAGAAGUUGUAAACAUAUAAGAGUGCUUACUGAUCACUGUUGAAUGAUAUUUAAUCGUCUCUCUUUCAAUCUGCAAGAGUUUAUACUCAGUGAAUCAUAGUAUGCUACCAAGAAUAAUGCCUCAUUUCCUCGUUGUUGGAAAAAAAUGUAGUGAAAAACAUGUAAGUUGCCAAUAGAAAUAUACUAGUUUAAAAAUAAAGCAUUUCAAGUUACAUAAGGUUUGUACAAGUUGUAACUGACCUGAAAAAAAUCUGUAUGUUUGAUAAAGCUCAUUUUAAUGAAUCCUAACAAUGGUUUAAAAGACAUCCAAAAGGAGGAAAGCUGGAUCAGCAUUGCGCAUCCACCUAAAAGGAGUAACAUGAAAUGCAUCAAUAUAAAAUGAGAUGAAAAGAAAAUAGUAGUGCUCAUAAAAAUCCUUUCUGCAAAAUAAUGCAUAAAGACGACCAAUUCAUCAAUGUAAAACAAAUACAAACUGUUCUUUAUAUAGGUCAUAGUUCCAUCAGAGAGCAAUUUCAAACAAUCACAACAACUGAGCACAAGACUUUAUAACAUGGAUGACAAACCAGUCCUCAGAAGGAACCUAAAGAAAUGUGUGAUUCUCGACUCUCCAAGAGAUGUAUGACUAUUCAGUCUUACUGGCAGCUUCUCCAAGAUAGCACAAAAAAUAGCUUCAUGUCUACUGAAGACAGGUGAACUAAGCAGUGUCCAAGGAUUGGUGCUUAGGGAACACCUCAAGUCAUAAACAUAGAAAAUUUAGAAAAAAAGUUAGCAAAUAUAGGAAUCUAAAAAAACCAAUAAAAAUGUAAAAUAAAAAUUGUAACUUACCAUGAUCUUGCUAAGCUGUUGUUUAUCCUCUUUCUACACUCUUAACAUCAACAAUAGAAACAAAAACAAGUAGCAAUAGGAAUUUGCCACAGUCACUAUAGACAUGGAGCCUCCAAAUAUAAAACCCGAAUCCCCUUCGACAAGAAGAAAAAUACUUAUACUCUGACACCUGGGACAUGCACCUUUUAAACCUGCAAACUCCAAAAGAAGAGAUAUGGUUUCAUCAAAUCAAAAAUUUGAGAAACUAAAGCAAAACCAUUUUGUUUCUGCUCAAAUUUGUACAACUAGGCAUAUGUAAAUGUGACAGUAGCUCACAUUUUGGAAACCAAGUGGGAUAUAUUAGAAUAGAUACAAGCUGCUGUUGUUGCUAUGUAAUAAUUCCAUUAGGUAGUUCUGGGCUAUCGCAGUCACAGAGAAAAUACCACUUGGGAUAAAUUGAAAACCAGUUCUUGUGAAAGACAAGUUUCAUGCACUGAAUGGUUCCCAACUUUCAAAGGAAAUAAAAGAUCAUACAACCUUAUGAGCGGCUUCCCCAGGAGGGCAAGAAGAGGUUCUUAUUUAUUAAAGAUGCAAAUGAAAUCUUGAUUCAGAGGACCUCUGUAAAGCACUGAAGAAUCUAUCACAAGUCAUAAAAGGAAGAAAAUUUUACAAAAAUAGUCCUUAGAACACAAUAAUAUAUAGAAUCAACUAUAUAAAUGAAAGUCACGCACCACAAUUUUGCUAGAUUGUAUUUUAUCCUCUUUUAGUCGUACUAAAAAAUGGUAAUAAAGUGCCAAUGAGCCUUUGAUAUAGGAUGAACAUUCCAAUCAGUUAGCACAAUGAAAAGACCACAUGACCUCCUGUGAUACUUUGCACCCAUCCUUUUGACACCUGCAUCAUCAAUGUAAACAAUUUGGUACAUAAAACUGUAAGACUUAUUAUUACCGUUCAGAGGUAGCCGAGUUAAAUGGCAACAAAUUGCAAAUAUAUGUAUGGGAAAUAGAAAGUGAUAUUGAGGAGAGAAAGAGGAAGAAUUGCAUGUUGGGAAUGAGCAUCCAGUGGACAAGAAGAAAAUUCAAGAAAAUUAGUCAUCAAAAUAGAAAAAUAAAUAAACAAAAUAUAUAGAUGACGGUGACUCACUGUAGUCUUGCUGGGUUAUUCUUUGUCCCCUGUUGACACUCAAAAAAAAUAAAAAAAAGAGCAACAGGGGACAACUGGAACUAGCUGCAUUCACUCCAUACUUUGAAGUCUUUGAUAUAAUACCUAGAGUUCCAUCCUCUUUGAGAACCUGCAUCAUAAAUGUAAAAAUUUAAUAACCAGAUGACAAGACACUGGAUAGUAGCUAUGAUGACAUCUAAUAAGUUGAACUAAAAAAAUCAUGGCUGCACAGGGGAAUUGAUAAAGCCAUCUAAUUACCAUAGCAAUCGAACUUUAAUAAACUGCAUUUGCUUCUAGUAUAGCCUCCUCUGUAUGUCAGCCUGAACUCUAUUCUGGAAAUCAGAAAAUUAUACUUAAAAAAUGCAAUUGAAUAGUACAACUGAUGGAAUAAAAAUCAGAAGACAUUGCUAACCAGUGGCUAUUGCUAAAUAUUCCACCUGCCCUUGAAUGGCAUAAAUGGAUCCUCUCUUAUCCUUUUUAUCGUUGUAAGUAUCACAUAUCACCUCUUCAACUUCAAUGGUCACUGAGAACUAAAAAGAACAAAGGAAAAAGGAAAAGUGUGUACCCCAUGGAGAUUAUGGACAAGAUUUACUAAAUAGAAUUGGAGAGGCAGAGGCAGUGAUGCAUACCUAGAAUUGUGUCAAAUUGAAGAGAAAACCAAGCUACAAGCCAUUUCAAAAGCCACUUCCUAGGCAAAUUUUUAACAAAAAGUCUAGUAAGAAACGUACAAGUAAUCAAUUGGGGAAAUUGCUAUAAUGUAUAUGAGAGAUUGAACGCGGUAUUGAGGAGUGAAAGAUAAAGAACAGGCGUACCUUGUUUAAUGUAAAGAUGGGAGAGGGUUGAAUGGUGUUUGCUUCUAUGUUCUGCAAUCCCUCAACUUAUUAUUGCUCAAAGACGUUUUUAUCAUCUAUUUCCACAUAGGGAAUGUGGGCGAUGUUGGGCCAAUCUUGCCCUUUCCCUUUCGAGCACCUUUGUUUUAGGAGCGGGCAGUCUGUGAUAUAUAGUCGUGAAAGCGUGUCAGGCAGCCCUUCCCUUGGGCAAAACGACUGAAGCUUAGGGCAACGUUGGAUCCAUAGAUCUUCAAGUGAGGUGAGGGUUUGGAGAGCCAGGGAGGAUAGAGAUUUCAGAUUCUGGAAAUCUUGAAUGGAAAGAAAGGUGAGGGUUGUAGGAAGAAUCGGUGGUCUUUGACCAUCUGAAAAGGAGGCAACUCGUGGAAAUAUGCCACCAAUGGUGAGUUCUUUAAGAGAGGUAAGUGUGGCAAGGCCCCAUCGGGAUAGGGGCAUCUUGAUAUUCUCACAACGGUAGAUACCAAGUGAUGUAAGAGCAGUGAGGUUUUGCAGUUGAUGAGGUAGCAGCUCCACAUUCUCACAAUUAUUAAUCUCCAGUUCUCUGAGUUUGUAGAGGCAAUCUGGUACAAUUUUGAGACAGGGAUACGACCGGAUACUCAAAUAUUCAAGUGAACUAUUAUUGGAGUGAAACGUCUCCUUUGAAAUCGACUCCAGUUGUGCACAAUCCCAAAUCUCAAGUUUCUUAAGGGUGGAGGGAAACUUGCCUGUGGGGAAGAAUGUGAGAGAUGGACAUUUCCAAAUGUCCAAGACAUGAAGACCACCACUGGUGGCGGUGGUGGUGUUGGAAUCAUGGUGCAUCAUUCCCCCCGGUAGAGACUCUAGCUUUUCACACCUCCAUAUCUUGAGUUCCUUGAGCGUGGUGGGUAACUCACCUUCUGGAAAACCAAUGAGAGAUGGACACGUAUGUAUGUGCAAGUAUUCAAGGAGACACACGUCGCUACCGUUAUUACUACCGUCUUUCAUCACCAUCAUCCAAUCAGGUAGACAUCGUAGACCUUCACAACUAUGAAUAACAAGACGUCUAAGCAUGGGCGGGAACCCCAACUCUGGAAAUGACACCAGCUUUGGACAAUCAUAGAUUUCCAACUCUCCAAGACAUGUUAGCCUGUACAGUCCAUUGGGAAGCUUCUCUAGGUUAUUACACCACCUAAUUUUCAAAGAUUGAAGCUUGCUAGGCAGCUCGUGCUUUUCCUUUUCUCCCAAGGAUACAAGCUCGGGACAACUGCUAGUUUGCAACUGCUGAAUACCAUCAAAUCCAUUUUCCCACAAACACGUCAAUUUAUCACAUCUAUCAAUGUCUAAAACUUGAAGCCCCGACAACAAUUGCAUACAACCUUCAUGUAAUCUGGUGAGCCCUACCAUUCUAUCAAUUCCUAACUCGGUGAGUGAAGGCAAUUCCAAUCCACUCCUUAGUACCGCCUCAUUGCAAUCUUGUACUCUUAAUUUAGAAAGAGAUGGAAGCCUUUCAAGUGGAGACACCAACUGUGGGCAUGUCCCAAUGGAGAAAUGUACAAGGGACGGUAGGUUAGUGGGUAGUUUCUUGAUUAAUUUGGGGCAAUUUAUGAUUUCAAGGUGAAGGAGACAAGGAUAUGGCUCUGAUAAAGAUGGACUCUCCCAAUCUUCCCAUUGUGACAUAGCCGAAAAAGAUAGAGACUCUAAGGACGGGAAAGGCUUAUUGGGAAGACAAGUCUCUCCAUAAAACUCUCUACCCACAAUUUUUACUUCUUUUAACCCUUCAAUCCUUACGUGUUUGAGCAUGGGUAACCACCCCAAACACGGUAAAGAUGUGCAAUUUCUGCAAUUCACCAGAUUUACAUCCACCAUCUUCGAGAAUGAAACAUCUCCUAUCCAAGGGGGAAAUUCUGGACCACCAUAAUACUCAAUUUUUAGUUUGUUCAAAUUGAAGUGUGGCUGUAAAGAGUCAAGUACAUCUUUUUGAUUCCUUGCAUUGUGUGAAUCAUUCAACCCAGCACUCCACUCUAUCGUCAAUUCUUCAAGCUUCUGCUUCUUGUUUAGACUAGCAUCCCUUGCAUCUUGAACAUUUGCUACAUUUUCCAACUUUGAAAUGCAAAGUCCCCCUUGAAGUUGGGGCAUAUUCCUUAACUCCUUUACAUUCAAACCAUUGUCUUUACCCACAAUAAAAUUAGACAAUACUUGUAAGCCUUUUAAUUUGCAAAUUCGUGGAGGCAUUUCUUCUAGAUUUGUAUUGGUCACAUCAAGGUGUCGAAGAUUAUUUAGGUUUCCAAUGCUCAAAGGCAACCUAAUAAGCUUCCGACAAUUUGAUAAUAUUAAUGUCUCUAAGUUAUGGAGGUUACCCAGUGAAUCAGGUAAUCGUUUGACUUUUGUUCUGGAUAAAUUAAGAUACCUAAGGUGUUUCAAAUCACCAACUGAACUUGGUAUCUCACUUAUCCGAUAACCACUCAAUAAAAGCACCCUUAGGCGUCGUAGCUUGGGCAUCAAUCCCUCAAGUACCUUGUUGCUUAACCAAUUAUAAUCCCAUAAUGGAUCAAUUGGUAAUGCAAUAAACGUACGCAAAUUCUCCAUCCCAUAAAAGGCUUCAAACUUUUUGAAGAUAUCGUAUCGGUCACGAAUGAAUGAUGAAUGACGAGCCUUUUUAGAAAUAGUCUGCUGCUGAUUACCUUCCAAAUUCUUUUCCAGAGAAAAACAUAUUUCUCCACCAACAAAUUUUGCUAAAUCGUUAACGAGAUCAUGCAUUACGAAUUGGGAUUUAUUGCUACUUGAUGGUUGAAAAAAUGAUCGAGACAACAAUUCCUGGAAGUAGUUAGCGCCUAAAUCUUCAAUUUCGAUUUGUUGCCUAUGACAUUCUAAGUGUUGAAUUAGACUCUCUGCCAUCCAUAAGCGAAUCAGUUCUCUCUUAUCAAAUUCAUAGUCUUUCGGAAAUAUUGCACAAUAACUGAAACAUCUCUUCAGUGGAGAGGGGAGGUGAUUAUAACUUAAUCUUAAUGCAGGAAGAAUACCGCAUUUAUCACUCGGUAAAUCCCAUAUUUUGCUAGUCAAAAUAACAUUCCACUCAUGUUCUCUCUGUUCAUGGCGUAGAAGACUACCGAGUGCUGUUGCUGCCAAAGGCAAGCCUCCACACUUUUUUACAAUUUCCUUGCCGAUCAAUGCCAAAUUGGAAUGCUCAUCAAUGUUGCUAUUUCCAAAUGCAUGUUUCUUGAACACCGACCAACACUCAUUAUCUGAUAAAUUUUGUAGCUCGUGCAAGUUCUUAUCUCCUUCCAUUAUAUUUGCGACCUUCUUACUCCGUGUCGUGACUAUGAUUUUGCUGCCUCGUGAACCCGACAAAAAGGGAGACUGUAAGCAACGCCAAUCAUUAUAGUUGUCAUUCCACAUAUCAUCGAGAACCAGAAGAAAUUUUUUUCCCUUCAAUUCCUCCCCCAAUUUAUCUUGAAUUUGAUGGAAGUCUAGUGAAUCAGUAUUGCUCUGAGAAGUACUGACCGAGUUGAGGAUUGUCUUGGUUAUUCUCACUGCAUCGAACUGAUCUGAUACACAAACCCAGGCCUUUAGAUCAAAAUGCUUGGCUGUCUCAGGAUGAUCGUACACCAACCUUGCUAGUGUGGUCUUGCCCAUACCACCCAUGGCCACGAUGGAAACUACAGAAACAUUGGUUUCAAUGGGCUCAUCCCUAAGCAGCAUAUCCAUUAUAAUCUGUUUAUCAGCAUCCCUGCCAUAAACCCAAGGUUCGUAUACCAGAGAUGUAGUGAGUGGCCUUUCCCAAGUAGACUGGGUUAUAGCAGCCACCUUGUCCAAACCAAGCCCAGCCUUUUGGGCAUAUAUAGCUUCUAAUCGGGUGGUAAUGUCCUUUAUCUCGCACCCCAUCUUAACAUUACGCAUACAACCAAUAGGAGUGAAAG